RNAcentral lists this ribosomal RNA (317 nucleotides) under Escherichia coli B171. Its description in RNAcentral is "SSU rRNA". It matches the Rfam family "Bacterial small subunit ribosomal RNA", at positions 26 to 339 of the family's 1533-position model. Lineage: Bacteria; Pseudomonadati; Pseudomonadota; Gammaproteobacteria; Enterobacterales; Enterobacteriaceae. The record is from RNAcentral.
AGAUUGAACGCUGGCGGCAGGCCUAACACAUGCAAGUCGAACGGUAACAGGAAACAGCUUGCUGUUUCGCUGACGAGUGGCGGACGGGUGCGUAAUGUCUGGGAAACUGCCUGAUGGAGGGGGAUAACUACUGGAAACGGUAGCUAAUACCGCAUAACGUCGCAAGACCAAAGAGGGGGACCUUCGGGCCUCUUGCCAUCGGAUGUGCCCAGAUGGGAUUAGCUAGUAGGUGGGGUAACGGCUCACCUAGGCGACGAUCCCUAGCUGGUCUGAGAGGAUGACCAGCCACACUGGAACUGAGACACGGUCCAGACUCC